This 253-nucleotide ribosomal RNA is filed under the name uncultured bacterium. RNAcentral describes it as "partial 16S ribosomal RNA". It matches the Rfam family "Bacterial small subunit ribosomal RNA", at positions 524 to 776 of the family's 1533-position model. The record is from RNAcentral.
UACAGAGGGGGCAAGCGUUAUUCGGAAUUAUUGGGCGUAAAGGGCGCGUAGGCGGCUUUUCAAGUGACGGGUGAAAUCCCUCGGCUUAACCGAGGAACUGCCUGUCAGACUGGAAGGCUUGAGACCGGGAGAGGUGAGUGGAAUUCCCAGUGUAGCGGUGAAAUGCGUAGAUAUUGGGAGGAACACCAGUGGCGAAGGCGGCUCACUGGACCGGAACUGACGCUGAGGCGCGAAAGCGUGGGGAGCGAACAGG